AUCACGACGGUGGUCCCGACCUACUUCACGACGGUGCCGUUGCCGGAGAGGUGGAGGUGGUCCCUCUCUGCUUCACGACGGUGCCAUCGUCGGAGAGGCGGAGGCGAUCCCCAGAGAAGAUCCAUUGGUCGACGGGCUCAGCCGUCCAUGACUCAGAGAUGACAACGCAGGAGGAGAUCACAUGGUAGAGGAAGGGGGUUUGAAGG
This 206-nucleotide long non-coding RNA is filed under the name Elaeis guineensis (African oil palm). Its description in RNAcentral is "long non-coding RNA (EGUI_LNC049361)". Lineage: Eukaryota; Viridiplantae; Streptophyta; Magnoliopsida; Arecales; Arecaceae. The record is from RNAcentral.